This 350-nucleotide unclassified non-coding RNA is filed under the name uncultured Glomeromycotina. Its description in RNAcentral is "sequence contains 28S rRNA gene". Lineage: Eukaryota; Fungi; Glomeromycota. The record is from RNAcentral.
AGAGUUAAAUAGUAUGUGAAAUCGUUGAAAGGGAAACGAUUGAAGUCAGUCAUGCUUGCAGGGAAUCAACAAAGUGGUUUUCUUCCUUGUGCACUUCCUUGCUUAGCAGGUUAGCAUCAAUUUGAUUGUCAUUAAAGACCGGGGGAAUAUGGCUUCUUCGGGAGUGUUAUUGACCUUGGUAGAUGUGGCGAUCGGGAUUGAGGAUUGCAGCGAAUGCUUCUUGGCUAGUCAUCUGGCUUCUGACGGUCACCUUGCUUUCGAUAGCUUGCUAAUGUUGGUGAGAUUUGGUUGUAUAGAUGUUAGAGUGAUCAUAAAUUCGCUAAGGAUGCUGACGUAAUGGCUUUAAACGA